UAUUAACAGUAGGGGGAAGAAUAAAAUAUCCUUUCUUUGCAGCUAGUCCUCCCAUAAAUUGACAAUUUCAGAAUUAAAGUAACUGUAGAGCCCAACAGUUAUCAUAAUAACUUGGUAAACUUAGAUUCAGCAUAUAUUAAAUUAGACUGUUAAAGUACAGUACUGUAAGAGUGAGUGGAAGGAAAUUGUGGGUUCCUUACAUCUAAUUAAGGACCUUUUUCAGUGCAACAAGGCAUGAUAAGAAAGGGAGGAAGCCAUAAAUAAGAGCAUACAGGGUCCCAAAUUGACUGACAAAUAAGGCAGGAUAGGAUGGGAACCAAAGCUGGUUAAUCACACUAAUUGAUGAGGGCAGAUGGGAGUGUGGGAUUUCCUGCUGAUCAGGAAAAUCUUCAGUUAGGAAACUAAGGGAAAAGGGGGAAACCAGAAACAGGGAGAUACAGAUCUGAUACAACAAACCAUAGAGACAAUGACAAGAAACAAACCUAGUCACACAAAUUGAUGUGCUAAUGAGAAAUUACAAGCACCACUUCCAGCAAGAUCAACAAUUGAUUGGCAAUUGAUUAAGAUUGUGAACCAAGGCAGGGCAUGGGCUGGGAGGGGUGCAGGAAAGAGUGGACCUCUGCAACCCAACAAGGGAUGUCUUAGGGAAGAGGGAGCAGGGAGGAGUAAAGAGGGAGUAAGCAGAAAAGAUUAUAAAAGGGCUUGUUGCUUGUAAGAUAGAGUUGGUCAGUAUGCUUGUCUGGCUGAGCCCUGUGCCUGAUCACUGCAGUCUGGCCAGUGUUGUCAUUAAAUCCUUUCUUAUCUCUCUGUUUAAUCUUACUGCUGUAAGGGCUCAGUUCUAGCUCCUGGUGAGACCUCUGUGUGUGAGCGAAAUUUGAUGCCAGCUGCUGGAGUCUCAGCAACAGCUCCUGGAGCAGUUUUUUUAAUGGACUCUGCUAGAGGAGCGGAUGCAGCACAAGCUGCAGGCGAUGCUGGAGGAACAGGAACGCGUCAUCGAGCACAAGCAGAAGGUAGAGGUGGGGGCACCGUGGUGGUGGCGGUGCUGGGGGCCGCGGUGGCGGCACUGACCCCGCUUCAUGUGCCACAGGAGCAGGAGGUGCUGCUGAAGGAAUGCUUCCAGAGCGAGGCUGAGACGCUGCGGGAGCAGACAAGAAGCUGCGGGAGAAGAAGGAGGAGAUGAAGAAGCCGUCGUGGCACCAAAGGGCACCGGAUGGGCACGGCUUUGUCACCGAUCCCUUUCUGCUGGGCCUGUUGUCUGUCGCGUUGGUCGUGUUCUUUGGUGCCCUGAUGCUGAUACAGCACGUGUAGUGACCUCAGUGCAAUCCCAAUAAAUUCCUCCAUUCUGCCUCCA
This 1351-nucleotide long non-coding RNA is filed under the name Anser cygnoides (Swan goose). Its description in RNAcentral is "lncRNA (ENSACDG00005004340.1)". The record is from RNAcentral. Lineage: Eukaryota; Metazoa; Chordata; Aves; Anseriformes; Anatidae.